UACGACCAUAUCACGUUGAAACACGUGUUCUCAUACGAUCGCCGAGGUUAAGCAAUGUCGAAACUAGUCAGUACCUAGAUGAGUGACCGCUUGGGAAUACCAGGUGCU
Acanthosepion pharaonis is the source of this 108-nucleotide non-coding RNA. Lineage: Eukaryota; Metazoa; Mollusca; Cephalopoda; Sepiida; Sepiidae. The record is from the annotation of a GenBank genome assembly.